GAUGAACGCUGGCGGUAUGCUUAACACAUGCAAGUCGAACGGACUCUUCGGAGUUAGUGGCGGACGGGUGAGUAACGCGUGAGAAUCUGGCUUUGGGUUCGGGACAACCACUGGAAACGGUGGCUAAUACCGGAUGUGCCGAGAGGUAAAAGAGAAAUUGCCUGAAGAUGAGCUCGCGUCUGAUUAGCUAGUUGGUGAGGUAAAGGCUCACCAAGGCAGCGAUCAGUAGCUGGUCUGAGAGGAAGACCAGCCACACGGGGACUGAGACACGGCCCAGACUCCUACGGGAGGCAGCAGUGGGAAAUUGUCCGCAAUGGGCGAAAGCCUGACAGCACAGUACCGCGUGAGGGAAGAAGGCUCGUGGGUUGUAAACCUCUUGUCUGAGGGAAGAACAAAAUGACGGUACCUGAGGAAUCAGCAUCGGCUAACUCCGUG
RNAcentral lists this ribosomal RNA (435 nucleotides) under uncultured bacterium. Its description in RNAcentral is "partial 16S ribosomal RNA". It matches the Rfam family "Bacterial small subunit ribosomal RNA", at positions 28 to 507 of the family's 1533-position model. The record is from RNAcentral.